GUGGGGAAUCUUCCGCAAUGGACGAAAGUCUGACGGAGCAACGCCGCGUGAGUGAUGAAGGUCUUCGGGUCGUAAAGCUCUGUCAUCAGGGACGAACGGCCGGUGGAGUGGAAAGCCACCGGAUUGACGGUACCUGAGAAGGAAGCCACGGCUAACUACGUGCCAGCAGCCGCGGUAAUACGUAGGUGGCAAGCGUUGUCCGGAAUUAUUGGGCGUAAAGCGCGCGCAGGUGGGAUCUUAAGUCCAUUUUUAAAGUUCGGAGCUCAACUCCGUGAUGGGAUGGAAACUGGGAUUCUUGAGUACCGGAGAGGAAAGCGGAAUUCCCCGUGUAGCGGUGAAAUGCGUAGAUAUGGAGAGGAACACCAGUGGCGAAGGCGGCUUUCUGGACGGUGUCUGACACUGAGGCGCGAAAGCCAGGGGAGCGAACGGGAUUAGAUACCCGUGUAGUCC
Molecule: ribosomal RNA, 450 nt
Filed under: uncultured bacterium
Lineage: Bacteria
Description: partial 16S ribosomal RNA
Rfam family: Bacterial small subunit ribosomal RNA
Source: RNAcentral